Molecule: ribosomal RNA, 245 nt
Filed under: uncultured bacterium
Lineage: Bacteria
Description: partial small subunit ribosomal RNA
Rfam family: Bacterial small subunit ribosomal RNA
Source: RNAcentral
AGAAUCAACGCUGGCGGCGUGCCUAACACAUGCAGGUCGAACGAGAAAGUGGAGCAAUCCAUGAGUAAAGUGGCGCACGGGUGAGUAACACGUGAAUGAUCUACCUCCGAGUGGGGAAUAACUGAGAGAAAUCUUAGCUAAUACCGCAUAACACUUACGAGUCAAAGCAGCAAUGCGCUUGGAGAGGAGUUCGCGGCAGAUUAGUUAGUUGGCGGGGUAAUGGCCCACCAAGACGAUGAUCUGUA